This 206-nucleotide ribosomal RNA is filed under the name uncultured bacterium. RNAcentral describes it as "partial 16S ribosomal RNA". It matches the Rfam family "Bacterial small subunit ribosomal RNA", at positions 568 to 774 of the family's 1533-position model. The record is from RNAcentral.
CACGUAGGCGGAUUGUUAAGUCAGGGGUGAAAUCCUGGAGCUCAACUCCAGAACUGCCUUUGAUACUGGCGAUCUUGAGUCCGGGAGAGGUGAGUGGAACUGCGAGUGUAGAGGUGAAAUUCGUAGAUAUUCGCAAGAACACCAGUGGCGAAGGCGGCUCACUGGCCCGGUACUGACGCUGAGGUGCGAAAGCGUGGGAGCAAACA